GGGUCAGUAGGUUGGUCGUGCCACCGGUACGUACUGGUCUCACUGAUUCCUCCUUCCUGAAGAACCGUAAUGCCAUUAAUUUGGUGUUGCGGGGAAACAGGACUGUUACUUUGAAAAAAUUAGAGUGUUUAAAGCAAGCUAACGCUUGAAUACAUUAGGAUGGAAUAAUGAAAUAGGACGAUCGAUCCUAUUUUGUUGGUUUCUAUGAUUGACGUA
Molecule: ribosomal RNA, 216 nt
Filed under: Glomeromycotina sp.
Lineage: Eukaryota; Fungi; Glomeromycota
Description: partial small subunit ribosomal RNA
Rfam family: Eukaryotic small subunit ribosomal RNA (bases 40-216)
Source: RNAcentral